This 489-nucleotide ribosomal RNA is filed under the name uncultured bacterium. RNAcentral's name for it is "partial 16S ribosomal RNA". It matches the Rfam family "Bacterial small subunit ribosomal RNA", at positions 30 to 507 of the family's 1533-position model. The record is from RNAcentral.
UUGAACGCUGGCGGCAGGCCUAACACAUGCAAGUCGAACGGUAACAGGAAGCAGCUUGCUGCUUUGCUGACGAGUGGCGGACGGGUGAGUAAUGUCUGGGAAACUGCCUGAUGGAGGGGGAUAACUACUGGAAACGGUAGCUAAUACCGCAUAACGUCGCAAGACCAAAGAGGGGGACCUUCGGGCCUCUUGCCAUCGGAUGUGCCCAGAUGGGAUUAGCUAGUAGGUGGGGUAACGGCUCACCUAGGCGACGAUCCCUAGCUGGUCUGAGAGGAUGACCAGCCACACUGGAACUGAGACACGGUCCAGACUCCUACGGGAGGCAGCAGUGGGGAAUAUUGCACAAUGGGCGCAAGCCUGAUGCAGCCAUGCCGCGUGUAUGAAGAAGGCCUUCGGGUUGUAAGGUACUUUCAGCGGGGAGGAAGGGAGUAAAGUUAAUACCUUUGCUCAUUGACGUUACCCGCAGAAGAAGCACCGGCUAACUCCGUG